RNAcentral lists this unclassified non-coding RNA (292 nucleotides) under Hevea brasiliensis (rubber tree). The record is from RNAcentral. Lineage: Eukaryota; Viridiplantae; Streptophyta; Magnoliopsida; Malpighiales; Euphorbiaceae.
GCAUGAACAAUUAUUGGAGACAUGGAAAAUGCAUGAAUUUCAGGUUUGUUCCAAUGUUAUUUCAAUAUAAGGAUUGAAUUCUUCAAUUUACACACCAUGCAUGCAUUAUAUAAAUUUGGCCUAUCUUAUGCAGGUGAGGGCUCUUGGAAGAAUAAUCAAUCCUAGACUGCUUGAACCAUGUCUCGAGAAAACCAAUGGACCCCAUGAAAUGAAGUUCAAGAUAAUAUAUGCAUGUUAAUGUUCUGCAACUGCUCUACAAGAGGACAUGCAAUGCAAAAUGGAAAAUUGUUGU